This 63-nucleotide transfer RNA is filed under the name Nymphicus hollandicus (cockatiel). Its description in RNAcentral is "tRNA-Phe". It matches the Rfam family "tRNA". Rfam says of the family: Transfer RNA (tRNA) molecules are approximately 80 nucleotides in length. Their secondary structure includes four short double-helical elements and three loops (D, anti-codon, and T loops). Lineage: Eukaryota; Metazoa; Chordata; Aves; Psittaciformes; Cacatuidae. The record is from RNAcentral.
GUCCUUGUAGCUUAAACCAAAGCAUAGCACUGAAGAUGCUAAGAUGGGCACUACCCCAAAGAC